AAUGAUCCUGAACACCUACCUACGUCAGACAUAACCCCACCAUGUCCUCGAUCGGAGUAAGAACUCACGAAAGAGACAGUCACGGUUACGCACACAGUUGGCAUGUUUUAAUUAAGUUAACUUCAAGUUUUCUAGAACCAGUGUUAAACAAAGUUUCCACGUUGCCACAUAACCGCGGGCACGGCUUUCCGAAAGAUUUAACCCUGCAGGGGUGCUCCAACUAGUCCAUCACAAAUUACCACAAGCCGCAUAGAAAUCCUCAAU
This 264-nucleotide long non-coding RNA is filed under the name Hordeum vulgare. Its description in RNAcentral is "long non-coding RNA (HVUL_LNC010288)". The record is from RNAcentral. Lineage: Eukaryota; Viridiplantae; Streptophyta; Magnoliopsida; Poales; Poaceae.